RNAcentral lists this ribosomal RNA (543 nucleotides) under uncultured bacterium. Its description in RNAcentral is "bacterial SSU rRNA". It matches the Rfam family "Bacterial small subunit ribosomal RNA", at positions 46 to 573 of the family's 1533-position model. The record is from RNAcentral.
GCCUAACACAUGCAAGUCGAGCGGCAGCACAAGUGAGUUUACUCAUGAGGUGGCGAGCGGCGGACGGGUGAGUAAUGCCUAGGGAUCUGCCCAGUCGAGGGGGAUAACAGUUGGAAACGACUGCUAAUACCGCAUACGCCCUACGGGGGAAAGAGGGGGACCUUCGGGCCUCUCGCGAUUGGAUGAACCUAGGUGGGAUUAGCUAGUUGGUGAGGUAAUGGCUCACCAAGGCGACGAUCCCUAGCUGUUCUGAGAGGAUGAUCAGCCACACUGGGACUGAGACACGGCCCAGACUCCUACGGGAGGCAGCAGUGGGGAAUAUUGCACAAUGGGGGAAACCCUGAUGCAGCCAUGCCAGCGUGUGUGAAGAAGGCCUUCGGGUUGUAAAGCACUUUCAGUAGGGAGGAAAGGUUGUAAGUUAAUACCUUGCAGCUGUGACGUUACCUACAGAANGAAGGACCGGCUAACUCCGUGCCAGCAGCNCAGCGGUAAAUACGGAGGGUCCAAGCGUUAAUCGGAAUUACUGGGCGUAAAGCGUGCGCA